GAAGAGAAGUAAGGGAUAGCAGUAUGCGUUGAGUGUCUACAUAGAUAUCCUAUGUAGAGGAAUGGCUGCUGUUGGAACUUGGCCGCUUUCGCUUUAUUUGCAGCAGCAUCCGUUGCUGUCCACCCAUUUACCGCGAAAACUUAAAAACAGGAUGUUUGAAGGUUUCGCGGUAAAUGGGUGGACGUGCUCAGUAACGCGUUCUCAGUCACAAUAUUCUCAUCUUCCAGUGUUGCUCCUGAACUAGACAUGCCAGUUGUAAAGGCGUCUUCAUUUGAGAGGGCCUCGUUCAAAAAGAGAACAUCUUUUCGAACUCAGAUUGACCUACGAGAUGAUCCUAUAACUAUUACAAGGCUUGCAAAAAAACAAACAAAAGCCAAUCAAACAAGAGACAGCUGAAAAACUGGCCAGAGACUUAAAGGCAGUGAAAUAUGUUGAAUGCUCUGCUCUAACACAGAAAGGACUAAAGAAUGUAUUUGAUGAGGCAGUAUUAGCAGCUCUAGGGCCCCCAGGAUCCCAGAAGACAUGCAAAUGUGUUAUUUUAUGAGCUGGACACAGCAGCAUCUUCAAAGACAAAUCUGGGUGUAAACCAACAGGAUUGUUUUAUUUUUGUACAGGUUUUUAUCAGGAAAGUAACAAUAGGUUUUAUUCAACAGUUUUUUUCCCCAUCAUAUACCUUGAUACUCAUGUCAUAUGAUAGGAUGAUAUGUGUGCAGAUUGUAGUCUCUUGACUCAUUUUGUGUGCCACUUUUGAAGUAAUUAGUUUAAUAUAUGUGUGAUGUCUGUUAUCAGCUGAAUAUGACUUGUCCCACAUUAUGUCAAGUUGAGUCACUGGGGAAUAUCUAAGAAAUUUGUAUUUUAAA
Sinocyclocheilus anshuiensis is the source of this 860-nucleotide long non-coding RNA. RefSeq lists it as uncharacterized. NCBI's taxonomy places the organism in Eukaryota, Metazoa, Chordata, Actinopteri, Cypriniformes, Cyprinidae. The transcript has 3 exons. The record is from RefSeq and is a predicted model, not a curated record.